RNAcentral lists this ribosomal RNA (413 nucleotides) under uncultured beta proteobacterium. RNAcentral describes it as "bacterial SSU rRNA". It matches the Rfam family "Bacterial small subunit ribosomal RNA", at positions 945 to 1359 of the family's 1533-position model. The record is from RNAcentral. Lineage: Bacteria; Pseudomonadati; Pseudomonadota; Betaproteobacteria.
AUUAAUUCGAUGCAACGCGAAGAACCUUACCUGGUCUUGACAUGUACGGAACCCUCCAGAGACGGAGGGGUGCCUUCGGGAGCCGUAACACAGGUGCUGCAUGGCUGUCGUCAGCUCGUGUCGUGAGAUGUUGGGUUAAGUCCCGCAACGAGCGCAACCCUUGUCAUUAGUUGCCAUCAUUAAGUUGGGCACUCUAAUGAGACUGCCGGUGACAAGCCGGAGGAAGGUGGGGAUGACGUCAAGUCCUCAUGGCCCUUAUGACCAGGGCUUCACACGUCAUACAAUGGUCGGUACAGAGGGUAGCCAAGCCGCGAGGUGGAGCCAAUCUCACAAAACCGAUCGUAGUCCGGAUUGCACUCUGCAACUCGAGUGCAUGAAGUCGGAAUCGCUAGUAAUCGCAGGUCAGCAUACUG